CAUUUUGUCUCUCUGUGCAGGCCAGGGCCUAUUAUAUGCCACAGCCUAAAGGCAGCAGAGUUGCAGAGGCUGUAGUGACCACUGGCUAUAUGCUUGCAGGGUGGUGGGUCUCCAAGGACAACUUCUAACCCUGUUAAAGGCAACACGUGGAGUGCAACUGGCCGUGUGGCAUAGCUGGCUCUGGCCUUGGGACUGUGUGUUUUUAUACGAUUCAUAAAUGGGACACUGGAGUGUUUUAUCUUUUAUCUCUUGAUAUUUUUUGUCAAUAAAUUAUCUUUUAGAAUUUUAUUGACUGUCAUCUUUUUGCCCACGACAGAGACUGUUGGUCAGACCUAGAAUCUUUCUUUGGCAUAAAUGCAAUGGCCAGAAAUGCAGUGUUACCUUUGAACUUCACUAUGGUCACGUGACCACCACACCAAGCCUGCUGAUGAUAUCUCUGUGACGAAUUCUGGAGUCUAAUUUUGCCACUUGUUAACAAAUAUUGUCUCUGAUAUGUGUAAUAGCUGUCCAAGCUAACUACUAAAUAACUUGUUCCUUUCUCAACUAAAGUCAUUCAUUAACUGUUUACAUGCUUAGUCUCGCCUUGUUUGUUACUCAUUUCUUUGUUUUGUACUGCUGGAAAAUCCCCUGACUCGCCUUGUCAGCUUGUUUCACUCCACUCAUUUCCUACAGACCUACACAGACUUAUUACACGUCCACUUUGUGGUGUCAUGAUCUUAUCUCUACUAUUUACAGUCAGUUGGUUUACAUUUCCACACUGAGUGACUUAAUGGAGGUCUUACUGAUUGUCUUAGAGACUGUAAAGGCAGUGGUAAGAUGUUUAAAUCACUAUACCGGAGACAGGGAGUUUGAA
This is a long non-coding RNA of Astatotilapia calliptera (eastern happy), 853 nucleotides long. Lineage: Eukaryota; Metazoa; Chordata; Actinopteri; Cichliformes; Cichlidae. The record is from Ensembl.